This 254-nucleotide ribosomal RNA is filed under the name uncultured bacterium. Its description in RNAcentral is "partial 16S ribosomal RNA". It matches the Rfam family "Bacterial small subunit ribosomal RNA", at positions 526 to 779 of the family's 1533-position model. The record is from RNAcentral.
CGGAGGAUGCAAGCGUUAUCCGGAUUUAUUGGGUUUAAAGGGUGCGUAGGCGGACGCGUAAGUCAGCGGUGAAAUAUCCCGGCUCAACCGGGAGGCUGCCGUUGAUACUGCGCGACUGGAGUCCAAAACGGCGCCGGCGGAAUAUGUAAUGUAGCGGUGAAAUGCAUAGAUAUUACAUAGAACACCGAUCGCGAAGGCAGCUGACGAGGAUGGUACUGACGCUGAGGCACGAAGGCGUGGGAUCAAACAGGAUU